RNAcentral lists this ribosomal RNA (497 nucleotides) under uncultured bacterium. RNAcentral's name for it is "partial 16S ribosomal RNA". It matches the Rfam family "Bacterial small subunit ribosomal RNA", at positions 28 to 507 of the family's 1533-position model. The record is from RNAcentral.
GAUGAACGCUGGCGGCGUGCCUAAUACAUGCGAGUCGAGCGAACAGAUGAGGAGCUUGCUCCUCUGACGUUAGCGGCGGACGGGUGAGUAACACGUGGAUAACCUACCUAUAAGACUGGGAUAACUUCGGGAAACCGGAGCUAAUACCGGAUAAUAUAUUGAACCGCAUGGUUCAAUAGUGAAAGACGGUUUUGCUGUCACUUAUAGAUGGAUCCGCGCCGCAUUAGCUAGUUGGUAAGGUAACGGCUUACCAAGGCAACGAUGCGUAGCCGACCUGAGAGGGUGAUCGGCCACACUGGAACUGAGACACGGUCCAGACUCCUACGGGAGGCAGCAGCAGGGAAUCUUCCGCAAUGGGCGAAAGCCUGACGGAGCAACGCCGCGUGAGUGAUGAAGGUCUUCGGAUCGUAAAACUCUGUUAUUAGGGAAGAACAAAUGUGUAAGUAACUAUGCACGUCUUGACGGUACCUAAUCAGAAAGCCACGGCUAACUACGUG